AUUAAUCUACACAUAAUCAACAAUUGAUAUGGAGUAAUCUUCUCCGAUUAAUCUAAAGGUAAUUGAUAUAAGUCCAUUAUGUUCUCAAUUUUCUCAAUUUCCUUUGCUUAUUUCUUCUCUUUCUCUCUUUCUCUCACCAAGCCCUAAUGUUUGCACUGAAUUUCAAUUCCCAAACCUUCAGUCUUUUUCUCGCCAAUCCCGAAUGAAUGCUAAUCCGCAUCCGCCACCAUCACCACCACCAUAUGAAUGAAUGCUAAUUUCUAAACAUUCGGUCUUUCUCUCGCCAAUCUCUAUCCCUCUCCCUGUCUCUCUGUCUCUAUCAAGAGUUGAUGAUUUGAUCUGAUGAAUACGAUAUCCUCAAUAUCUUCCCCAAAGUUGAUCAUUCUAAGGUAUUCUUUAUGUGAUUUUAUUCAAAAAAAAUUUAACUAAUUUAAGUUUGAGUAUUAAUCGCUUGUUGGAUUAUGUUCAAUUUUAAUUUGACCUAAUUUUACUUUAUUUUGGUGGUCUUAUGAAUAUGAUUUUUGGUCUAUGCGUUCUUAUCUGUUGGCGAUAGAUAUAUCUCUAAUCUAUAUACCAAAUGCUUUUGUUCAACAAUGUCUAUUGUUUAGGGGUUGCUUGUAAUACACAAAAUUCAUCCAUGUUUUCCAUUUGUCAAAGUAGAAUUCACAGGAUCUAUUUGUUUAACUCGAAUUAUAGACAUUGCUCACAACAUCUAUUUCUUUUAACAG
Molecule: long non-coding RNA, 728 nt
Filed under: Lactuca sativa (garden lettuce)
Lineage: Eukaryota; Viridiplantae; Streptophyta; Magnoliopsida; Asterales; Asteraceae
Description: long non-coding RNA (LSAT_LNC009639)
Source: RNAcentral